This is a long non-coding RNA of Mauremys mutica (yellowpond turtle), 1988 nucleotides long. RefSeq lists it as uncharacterized. The record is from RefSeq and is a predicted model, not a curated record. The transcript has 2 exons. NCBI's taxonomy places the organism in Eukaryota, Metazoa, Chordata, Testudines, Geoemydidae.
UUGAACAGAAGAGCAUGCACUAGACUGGCAACACAAUACUCUGCUGCUGGUUCCUGGUCAUUGGACUUGAAACCUGCAGUAAGAGGUUGGUCAGUGGGGAAUGCAUGACCACGCAGAGGUACUUUGGCCGCUAUUGGUGUUGGGCCUGGCCCUAAAUAGGCUAGCAGACAUGGCUGUGAGGAAUGGGUGGAAAAGUGACUGAGAGUAAUGUGGGUCAAGCUGGGAUAGGUUUGAGAAAGGGCUGGCAGCUGGGAGUUUUCAGCUUUCUUUUAUGGUGAGAAAAGUUGAUAGUUGGAUUGGAUGUUUUAGAGGAGCACAGCGGUUAGGAAGUUCUCAGAAUUGCAUUGCAUAUGAAUUGUUCUCAAUCUUCGGCAUGUGUUGAGGGUUGAAUCACUCACUUCAUUUAAGUGUCUUCCUGCCUUAUACAAAGGGCUUUGUGUCUAAUCAGGCCCACUUCCUUUCUGGAUAUUCCACAAAGCCACUGGCAGAGUCUCAUCAGGGCUGGCACUUCAUGUUAGGGUUAUUGUUGUGCUUUUCUAGACUUCUCUAGAAUCAGAGGUGCAGAAAGAGAUGUAGGGAAUCUGUGGUGCUGAGGUAGCCCCAAACAAUAUGAUAUUGGAGGAAAAGAGCCCUCCUGAUUCCAAUGGAGAGUGCCAAAACUGCUGCGAUGACUCAAUGGGACUGUCAGAAAAGGAGCUUGAAUGUGAAUUUGCAAACGGGCCUUCCUGCUGGAAUUUACUGUGAUGUUAUUUCUGGGCAAAAGGAAGGUGACCGCUGUACAGGAAUACAGGUGCAGGUUGUAGGUGACGGCACUGCUAACUUCCAGAUUAGUAACCAGGCUGAAGAUCCUUUCAUUGCAAUUCAUGUUGAUGCUACAUUGUAAUCCAUGCAAGAAUGAAUGAUUCUCUGUAUAACAUCUCUAGCAAGGAAUAAACUGUCUUGGCACAAAAGUCAUAUUUUUUUUAGUCUCAUUAAUGAAAUACUGUGUCAGUGCUGUAAUAGUAUUACAGAAUAAGUAGCACUGAUACAAUUUUUUGAGAUGGUAUAACAGGCCUACACAUAUGGUUCAUUUUAAAGACAACUUCAUUUUAUGUCACAUGAAGACAGUAAAGGAGAAAUUAAACCAUGAAUUGAGAUGAUUUUACUGUUGUAAUUCCAAAACUCAGGAAGGCAGACAAACAGACACACACACACAGUAUAGGUGAAGCUUGUAACAGCACCUAUUACAGCCGGCUGAAAAAAUUGAUGUUUUUGGUUUGCUGGCAAUGCAAAAGGAUUGAAAAAGAUCUUGUUUCACAUCAAACCUGUGACCUUCUGUACCUCAAAGUGGCACUCUGAAACCCCCAUAUUCACUACUGUCAUAUAACUGUAUGUUUUGUACAAAAUAUGCCUUGUGAGGUAUCGGUCUUGAUCUGUUGAACAAUAAUAACCUGUUGGAUUUUAUGUACUAUCCUUGUAUAUGAAGUUAUAAAGUAUUACUACAUAUGUUACAGAAAUAUGUUGUGAGGUUAGGAACACCCACAACCAAAGAUGUGGCUAUUGAUGGCGACUUGGCAUUAAUGGCUCAUCAACACAUAACCUAGAGACUUCUCUGAGGAGGCACAUAUGCCAUGGGGGCAGACUAACCUGCAUCAUAGCAAUGAUCUUUGCAGCAAGCUGGAAGAAAAGAAAAAUAGUGACAUCAUCACUUGGCCUCUCCCUCCCUCCCCCCCCACCCCUUGAGCUCAACACCUGGAGGAAUGUCUGAUUAAGGGUGGUCUCAAGCUGGAAGGUAGUCCCAGCAUGAGUACUGGUGAGCUGUAACCUGCUUGUACCAUCUGUCAGGGUAAGAUAUUGUUUGCUUCAUCUCUUGCUUAGAGUAAAAGUUAGGAUUUAAAAUAUGUUUACUUUUUAUUUUCUUAAUGUAAUCUCUGAUCUGUAUGCCUAGAAUAAUCACGUAAACUCUAUCUUUCUGUAGUUAAUAAACCAAUUUUAUAUUUUACUUAAAA